This is a long non-coding RNA of Octopus sinensis (East Asian common octopus), 144 nucleotides long. RefSeq lists it as uncharacterized. The transcript has 4 exons. NCBI's taxonomy places the organism in Eukaryota, Metazoa, Mollusca, Cephalopoda, Octopoda, Octopodidae. The record is from RefSeq and is a predicted model, not a curated record.
UGAGACUAAAAGUGAAUAUGACAAAAUAGUAGUAGUAGUAGUAUGAGAGCAUGCGCUGUAACAGUGUGUCACUGCAUCCACCAUUUGUUGUUGAUCCCUACUAUUCCUGGCUGAUAACGCCUUUUCGCCACUCAGGCAACAACC